CACGUAGGGGGGCUAGCGUUGUCCGGAAUCAUUGGGCGUAAAGCGCGUGUAGGCGGUUCGGUAAGUCCGCUGUGAAAGUCGGGGGCUCAACCCUCGAAUGCCGGUGGAUACUGUCGGGCUAGAGUGCGGAAGAGGCGAGUGGAAUUCCUGGUGUAGCGGUGAAAUGCGCAGAUAUCAGGAGGAACACCUAUUGCGAAGGCAGCUCGCUGGGACGUUACUGACGCUGAGACGCGAAAGCGUGGGGAGCAAACAGG
This 254-nucleotide ribosomal RNA is filed under the name uncultured bacterium. RNAcentral describes it as "partial 16S ribosomal RNA". It matches the Rfam family "Bacterial small subunit ribosomal RNA", at positions 524 to 776 of the family's 1533-position model. The record is from RNAcentral.